Molecule: ribosomal RNA, 475 nt
Filed under: uncultured Roseobacter sp.
Lineage: Bacteria; Pseudomonadati; Pseudomonadota; Alphaproteobacteria; Rhodobacterales; Roseobacteraceae
Description: bacterial SSU rRNA
Rfam family: Bacterial small subunit ribosomal RNA
Source: RNAcentral
AGGCCUUAGGGUCGUAAAGCUCUUUCGCCUGUGAUGAUAAUGACAGUAGCAGGUAAAGAAACCCCGGCUAACUCCGUGCCAGCAGCCGCGGUAAUACGGAGGGGGUUAGCGUUGUUCGGAAUUACUGGGCGUAAAGCGCGCGUAGGCGGAUUAGAAAGUUGGGGGUGAAAUCCCGGGGCUCAACCUCGGAACUGCCUCCAAAACUGCUAGUCUAGAGUUCGAGAGAGGUGAGUGGAAUUCCGAGUGUAGAGGUGAAAUUCGUAGAUAUUCGGAGGAACACCAGUGGCGAAGGCGGCUCACUGGCUCGAUACUGACGCUGAGGUGCGAAAGUGUGGGGAGCAAACAGGAUUAGAUACCCUGGUAGUCCACACCGUAAACGAUGAAUGCCAGUCGUCGGGUAGUAUACUAUUCGGUGACACACCUAACGGAUUAAGCAUUCCGCCUGGGGAGUACGGUCGCAAGAUUAAAACUCAAA